RNAcentral lists this non-coding RNA (241 nucleotides) under Palpitomonas bilix. The record is from RNAcentral.
AGGACAUGUCUUCGUUUGGUUUCCUAUUUUUCCCUCCUUCUUGUACGUUUUGCUGCUUCCGUCUGUUUUUCUUGCUUUCUCUACAGAAGGAAAAGCGGAACAAGGAUGUGUCGCCAGACAUUCUGAUGUGCAACCUUGAAAGAAGGAAGAAGGAAGGAGAAACAUCGUCCCAUCAGGAGGAUGUCAAAAAGAAAAUAGACGAAAUUCCUGUUCUUUUAUUACAUGUAUCACUUGAGAAAAA